UGCGCAGUCUACCAUGCAGUCGAGCGGCAGCGGGGGGUAUCUUGCUACUUUUGCCGGCGAGCGGCGGACGGGUGAGUAAUGCCUGGGGAUCUGCCCAGUCUAGGGGGAUAACUGCUGGAAACGGCUGCUAAUACCGCAUACGCCCUACGGGGGAAAGCAGGGGACCUUCGGGCCUUGCGCGAUUGGAUGAACCCAGGUGGGAUUAGCUAGUUGGUGAGGUAAUGGCUCACCAAGGCGACGAUCCCUAUCUGGUCUGAAAGGAUGAUCAGCCUCACUGGAACUGAGACACGGUCCAGACUCCUACGGGAGGCAGCGGUGGGGAAUAUUGCACAAUGGGGGAAACCCUGAUGCAGCCAUGCCGCGUGUGUGAAGAAGGCCUUCGGGUUGUAAAGCACUUUCACCGAGGAGGAAAGGUUGGUAGCUAAUAACUGCCAGCUGUGACGUUACUCGCACAAUAAGCACCGGCUAACUCCGUGCCAGCGGCCGCGGUAAUACGGAGGGUGCAAGCGUUAAUCGGAAUUACUGGGCGUAAAGCGCACGCACGCGGUUGGAUAAGUUAGAUGUGAAAGCCCCGGGCUCAACCUGGGAAUUGCAUUUACAACUGUCCAGCUAGAGUCUUGUAGAGGGGGGUAGAAUUCCAGGUGUAGCGGUGAAAUGCGUAUAGAUCUGGAUGAAUACCGGUGGCGAAGGCGGCCCCCUGUACAAAGACUGACGCUCACGUGCAAAAGCGUGAGGAGCAAACAGGAUUAGAUACCCUGAUACUCCACGCCGUAAACGAUGUCGAUUUGGAGGCUGUGUCCUUGAGACGUGGCUUCCUGGAGGCUAACGCGUUAAAUCGUACCGCCCUGGCGGAGUACGGACGUCAAGGCUUGAAAAGCUUCAAA
This 884-nucleotide ribosomal RNA is filed under the name uncultured bacterium. Its description in RNAcentral is "bacterial SSU rRNA". It matches the Rfam family "Bacterial small subunit ribosomal RNA", at positions 43 to 906 of the family's 1533-position model. The record is from RNAcentral.